CGGGUGCUAACGUCCGUCGUGAAGAGGGCAACAACCCUGACCGACAGCUAAGGCCCCCAAUUCGUGGCUAAGUGGGAAAGGAUGUGGGACUCCCAAAACAACCAGGAGGUUGGCUUAGAAGCAGCCAUCCUUUAAAGAAAGCGUAACAGCUCACUGGUCUAGCCAAGGGGUCCUGCGCCGAAAAUGUAACGGGGCUCAAGCCACGAGCCGAAGCUUCGGGUGCACGCAAGUGCGCGGUAGCGGAGCGUUCCCUAGGCUGUUGAAGCGGGACCCGUGAGGGCCCGUGGAGGUAUGGGAAGUGCGAAUGCUGACAUGAGUAACGACAAAGAGUGUGAAAGACACUCUCGCCGAAAGUCCAAGGGUUCCUGCGUAAAGUUAAUCUGCGCAGGGUCAGCCGGCCCCUAAGGCGAGGCCGAAAGGCGUAGUCGAUGGGAAUGGGGCGAAUAUUCCCCAGCCAGUGGAUGGUGACGGAUGCCGUGUAUCGUCUGGCCUUAUCGGAUUGGCCGGGCGGUGAAGGGGUCCCAGGAAACAGCCUCCACAUCAAGACCGUACCCGAAACCGACACAGGUGGACUGGUAGAGCAUACCAAGGCGCUUGAGAGAACGAUGCUGAAGGAACUCGGCAAUCUGCCUCCGUAACUUCGGGAUAAGGAGGCCCUGUCGGUGCGAAAGCAUCGGCAGGGGGCACAGACCAGGGGGUGGCGACUGUUUAUCUAAAACACAGGACUCUGCGAAGUCGAGAAGA
Molecule: ribosomal RNA, 744 nt
Filed under: Staphylococcus pseudintermedius
Lineage: Bacteria; Bacillati; Bacillota; Bacilli; Caryophanales; Staphylococcaceae
Description: partial 23S ribosomal RNA
Rfam family: Bacterial large subunit ribosomal RNA
Source: RNAcentral